Molecule: transfer RNA, 72 nt
Filed under: Saurida nebulosa (clouded lizardfish)
Lineage: Eukaryota; Metazoa; Chordata; Actinopteri; Aulopiformes; Synodontidae
Description: tRNA-Thr
Rfam family: tRNA
About the family: Transfer RNA (tRNA) molecules are approximately 80 nucleotides in length. Their secondary structure includes four short double-helical elements and three loops (D, anti-codon, and T loops).
Source: RNAcentral
GCCCUAGUAGCUCAGCCCCAGAGCGCCGGUUUUGUAAUCCGGAGGCCGAAGGUUAAACUCCUUCCUAGUGCU